Molecule: ribosomal RNA, 250 nt
Filed under: uncultured bacterium
Lineage: Bacteria
Description: partial 16S ribosomal RNA
Rfam family: Bacterial small subunit ribosomal RNA
Source: RNAcentral
UACAGAGGCGGCAAGCGUUGUUCGGAAUUAUUGGGCGUAAAGAGCACGUAGGCGGCUGUGUAAGUCGGUUGUGAAAGCCUUCCGCUCAACGGAAGAACGGCAUCCGAUACUGCAUGGCUUGAGUGUGGGAGGGGAGAGUGGAACUUCUGGUGGAGCGGUGAAAUGCGUAGAUAUCAGAAGGAACACCGGUGGCGAAGGCGGCCCACUGGAUCGGUACUGACGCUGAGGUGCGAAAGCGUGGGGAGCAAAC